This 7693-nucleotide long non-coding RNA is filed under the name Homo sapiens (human). RNAcentral's name for it is "LHRI_LNC343.6". The record is from RNAcentral. Lineage: Eukaryota; Metazoa; Chordata; Mammalia; Primates; Hominidae.
AUGAAAUCUCAGGCUCCUGGGCGGGGCUGGGGAGGCCGGCCUUGUCACAGGCAGGAGGGGCCGCAUUCCUUCCUCAGCAGCUGGUGGAGCUGGGCCUGAGCAGGACUUCCCCAAAGGACUGAGAAGGAAGCCUCCACUCUGUCGUCGCUCUCUGCUUGGAAUUGCCUUCGGAAGACAUCCUCAAUCCUGCCCCAGCCUUACGAUUGUUUUGUGUCAUUAGAUGAAGUCACUUCACUUCUGAAGCUCACUUGCCUUUUCUAAAAACCGGAGGCUGAUAAGGAUUGCAGGAAACUCAUGGAGUUGUUCCGAGGUUAAAAUGAGAGUCUGCCUGUGGAAGGACAUUGCAGAUGAUAGAAGACACAGAUGUAAGGCAUCUACCUUAUCUUUACCAGUUUCAUCUUCUUCAUCUUCAUCUCAUUACCAUGGUCAUCCUCGUUAGCAGGGAAGAGCAGGAGUUCUCACGGCAGGAUAGGCUUCGCGGCUGUGCUGGGAAAUGCCUGUCUGAAGUAGGCCACACAUGGGCUGUGUGGAGAGCUGCACAAUAGAAUGGAAAAGAGCACUGAAUCAGGAGUAAAAAGAGCUGGGUGUUGACUUGGUACAUCCACAAACUAGCUGUGUAACCUUGUGGAUGCCGUGAAUGUCUCUGUGCUUCAGCCUCCUCGCCUGCAAGGCCCAACACCACGUGGAAGCUGCCAAGGCUUGGGGUUUGCACCAUCUGAAGCCAUGGCCUGAACUCUAUGUUAGCCCCUUUCCACCAUAGCUGGAGCUGCUUGGACACAGAGCACCAAGUCCCUAGGCUGCACACAGGUGUUCCUUGUUCUGAAGAGGAGAAACAGUAAAAAAUUUGCCAAGGACCCAAGAUAGAAGACUGUGGGCCCAGAUCCUAAUGUAAAAGAAGCCUGCCUCAACUUAAUUUUCCUGGACAGCAAGAGCUAUGAAAAUGAACUGGGUGAAUAUUGGUGUUUUCAGCUUGAGGUUCCAAUGAAUUAGGACAAUCAGAAGGAAGAGUUUAAUUUUGGGGUCUAGCAUGAGACCAUUCAGUUCAAACUUUCAUUUCACAGUUAGGAAACUAGACCCAGAGAGGCACAGUGCUUCGGCUUGAUGCUAAUAGACUGAUUUUGGAAGGCAGUUGAGCUGGAAGACACAGAUCUGGGGGCUGUCAGCCAAGGGCUGAGAAGGAUGUGAAUUAAGAAGGUGGGAAGGGAAUUGAUGGUUAAGGCCUGAGUCUUGAGAGAAACCCAUGGCCAGGAGCAGAGGAGUUAAGAUUCAUUCAGAAAUGCUCCUACAGACGUGGGAGAACAAGGAUUGUUCAGUAUAAUGGAAGCCAAAGGAGAGGGUUUUGAGGAGCAAAAGACUAGCCAACAGUAGCAAUUGUGUCAAGGUGAUCAAGGAAUAAGAUGUAAACAAUUGUUGGAUUUAUAAUAUGAUUUUAAAAGUGCAGUUUCAGUAAAGUGGUAAGAAUGGGAGGACAAUCAAAUGGCACGUGGUGUGUGUGUGUGUGUGUGGAGGUUGUGGUGUGUGUGGGGGGGGAUGUAUGUGUGGAGAGUGUGGCAUGAGAUGCAUGUGCAUAUGUAUGUUUAGGAUGAGGUGUGUGUGGAGAGUGAGAUGUGUGUGUGUAGGAUAUGAGGUGUGUGAGCUGUGUGUGUGUGUGUGUGAUGUGUGUGUAGGGUGCAGUGUUGUGGUAUAUGUGUAUGUGUACAUGGUGUGGGGGGUGCAGGGUGUGUGUGUAUGUAGGAUGCGGUGUGUGUGGAGAGUGAGAUGUGUGUGUAGAGUGCAAUGUGUAUGGGGUGUUUGUAGGGUGCGCUGUACAUGUGGGCAGUGUGUGUGUAUUCUGACUGAAUGCUGAGCACUGGUGCUUGAGCUCUCCUGCCCUGCCUGGGAGGUGGUGUGUCUGAGGUGAGGGGAAGGCUGACCCAGCUGAUGGGUCCUGUGAGGCAGAGGUUGAGGAGGGAGCCAGAGAUGAGAACCAACAACAUGCUCCAGGAAGAGGGACAGGCGCAGAAGCAAGGGGACACCAGACUGGAACAGAUGGACUCAUGCAGUUGUUCCUUGAUGGCCUGUUCACAUAUAGCAUUUGCCAUGUCCCACAAAUGCAGAAUUCUGGUGGAACCACAGUGCGUGGAAGUUCCAGGAGACUGAAAGUGGUGCAAGGUUAAGUGUGUUACAUAUGUAAUUGAGUAAUCAGGGGUGCUGACAGCCCGACAGGCCAUGCCUUCCAUUCGAACCAGAGCUUGCUUCACAUAGAAAGAAAGCAAUGGCUUUCUAAGGAAUGUGGACAAGUGAGGAACCCUAUCAUAUCCUUCUUACUCAUUUCUUCCCUGUGUUAACCAACCACUUACGCUGAAAAUGAUGACACAGAAGAAAGGGAAAGACAGGACAACCCAUAGUUCCUUUUCCUUUCAGCCCUUCCUUACUCAUCAGUAAGCUGAAGGUCAAGAGUAUUGAUGGAACAUGCACGUUAUCAAGAAGUAAAAUUAAAACAGUUGAGUUAGUUUUGUGCAGUGUUCCCGCUGCUCUGGUAAGGACAAAAUAUAUACGCAAGUAAGAGCUAGGAAAUAUGAACUGUGUAAUUUCAAUGAUUCCACGUAUGAGUCAAAUGCACUUAUUUUCAUUUACAACUAACACUACACAACAUAAAGAAUAGUAAAAUUCAUACUAAUAAUUAAAUUUUAAAUUUUUCUUUACUUAAAAUGACAUUAAAUAUCAAAUUAAAAACAUCAUGACUAGUAAAAAAAAAUUGUGGAAGAAAGAAAAAGUUUUAUGCUUUGGUGACCCUUAAUGGCCUUAUUUCCCUCUGGUUUUUGAACAAGGAGCUCGAUAUUUUCAUUUUGUACUGGGCCCUGAAAAUUAUGUUACUGGCCCUGGGUGAGAUGGUUGUUUAUAUUUGUAUGACCAGGGUCAAAAAACAGUCUUGGAACCACAGGAGCAGGGAAGAUUCACCAAUAAAUUGAUGAACACAAGUCUUCAUCAUUACCCACACACACUCACUGGCCCCUCAACAUUGGUAACAAUGGCCAUGGGUGGAGAGUUAAGAAGAUGAUAACUCCCAGAAAACUAUGCUUUUUCUGCUGAUAACUCUUCAACAUCUCACCACACCCAAUAUCUCUGCUUUUGUUAACAAACCAUGAACUGCUUCAAGUUGUCAUACCCUUUCUCACUGUCUUUCUUCUGAUUGGAACGGCCUGGUGAGAGCAGGCUGGUGGGAACACACACCUUCCGAAAGGCCCUCACCACAGCAGAUCACUGCUGGCGUCCGAGCUACUUCCUGCUUGUCCUGUUGUGUCCUUCAUCAGUGACCGCACUCUUGGAGUGCUUGCCUCUGGCUCCUGUUUUCCACCCAUUUCUCAGCCUGGUAACUCCUGGUUUCCAGUCUUAGUGGGCCCACUGCUCUGCUCCCACCUCCUGUGAUAGGGUCGGGAGAGCCGCCAACCCCACUUGACUCCUGGACCCCAUCCAGGCUGUGGUAUGUGCCAGCACCAUCUUCCCAAAGGAUGCUGCCCCUCCCUGAGGCUCAUGGUAUAGCUCUUCUCCCAUAUUCAUACCCCCGUCUUGAAGCCUGGCCCACAUAGGGUUUCCAGAAAGCCUUCCCCGAACCACUAAUAGAAACCCUACUAUACUCACACCUUCCUUAAGAGAUACUUCACAAACCCAGUUUUGUGCGGUGCAAAGGGGAUGAAAUCAGAAAUAACAUAGGUUUAAAUCCUGGUUAACUAACUGAUUUUUGAGUCUGUCAAUAAACCUCUCUGUGCCUCAAUUUCCCCAUCUACAAAAACAGGAUUGUGAUACUUACCUCAUAGGAUCAUUGUGAGGAUUAUGAGAAAUAGCACAGGCAAAGCACCUAGGUGCUGCCUGGCAUGUCCCAGCACUCAGUAAAAGCUCCCCCAACACUUUUCUCCCCCUGCUGGGGUUGGGCACCAUGCCUUAUUCAUGCCUUUAUUCCUUGCAGCACCUAGAGUAACAUCUUGUGGCUGGCAGAUGAUCAAUGCCUGUGGAUUGAAUUAAAUUAAAACUUUCCUUGUGUUACACUGUUCUCUCCAUGUCCCCAGUUGUAAUAUCCUCUUAAAAGUAUCAUCGCUUGGCUGGGCACGGUGGCUCAUGCCUGUAAUCCCAGCACUUUGGGAGGCUGAGGCGGGUGGAUUACAAGGUCAGGAGAUCGAGACCAUCCUGGCUAACACGGUGAAACCCCGUCUGUACUAAAAAUACAAAAAAAAAAAAAAAAAUUAGCUGGGCGUGGUGGUGGGCGCCUGUAGUCCCAGCUACUCGGGAGGCUGAGGCAGAAGAAUGGCAUGAACCCGGGAGGGGGAGCUUGCAGUGAGCCGAGAUCGCGCCACUGCACUCCAGCAUGGGCAACAGAGUGAGACUCCGUGUCAAAAACAAACAAAAAAAAGUAUCAUUGCUCAGCUUAUAAGUUCUACUUCAUGUUACUGCAGAUUGUGACCCCCAAAUGAAGUAACUUUUGCUGUUCCUUCUUAUUAAAAAUAAUACAUGCUCAAUAUAUAAAUAAAAAUACAAGCAAAAAGAGUAUUAAAAAGUCUGAUAAUUCUACCCACACAGACAUAGCUAGUAUUAACAUCUCUCCAUUAGCUUUUCAAUGCAAUGCAGCUAUUAUAUCUAUGUGUGUGCAUGUAUACAUGUAUGUAUAAUAUUUUGCUGAGGGAGGAAGGUGGAAAUAGCAUAUUAAGAGAGGGAUGUGGGCUUUAGAAUAGAAAAAAUUCAGCAAGCCUGUGCUCUGUGAGUGUGAAAAUAACCACUGGUGUCUACUUAGAUUCAGUAGGGUGGGAGUCUUGCUGGAAAUGCUUUUUAAAUUUCUAGUGCCAUAAUCUUUCUUUCAUCCAAAGAGGAAAAAAUGAGUCUUUACGUAUUUUUUAAUGUAGCGAUAAUUAUCAUUCAUCAGCAUACUGCACACUCUUUAUUUGGGUGUUUAUUAAGGAUCUAUUUCAUGCCAGACGCUGGAGUUGGCACUAAAAACAAGGAUACGGUUACUGCUCUCAGUGAGUUUUCAGUCUGGUGGGGGACACACAUGAGAAAUAGCACAGGCAAAGCCCCUGGGUGCUGCCUGGCAUGUCCCAGCACUCAAUAAAAGCUCCCCCCAACACUUUUCUCCCUCUGCCGUGGUUGGGCACCAUGCCUUAUUCAUGCCUUUAUUCCUUGCAGCACCUAGAACAACAUCUUGUGGCUGGCAGUAAAUAGGUGGGCAAGAUUAUCAGAUUUUUUAAUACUCUUUUUGCUUGUCUUUUUAUUUUUAUAUCGAGUAUGCAUUAUUUUUAAUAAGAAGAAACAGCAAAAGUGACUUCAUUUGGGGGUAAGAAAAGUAAAUAGGUUACCACAGUGCCAUGUGAUAAAUGUUAGGAGGUGGGAACCACAGGAUGCUGAGGAGCAUUCAAGGUGGGGGGACCAAACCCAACUGUGAAGAAUUCCCAGAAAAGGUGGUAUCUAUGCUGAGUCUUCCAGGGAAGGUCAUAGUUUGUCAGGCCAUGAAAAUAAGGGGUAGAGAAAAAAAUAAUUCCUUGGAGAGGGAAGAACAUGUGCAAUGACUCGGAGGCAAAACUCUGUGUGGGGACUGCAGGUGCAGAGUGGGAGGAGCAUGGAGUUGGAGGGGUGAAGUGCAGAGAGAUAAGAGUGAGAAAGGCCUUGGAUACCACGCUCAUGAGUUUAAACUUUGUCCUGAUGGUUAAGGGGAGCCACUGAAUUCUUUGAAAAAGGGGGUGUCAUUAUUUGUGGGGUUGAAUGUAAACAGCUGGGUAAAUGGGUCUAUACUUCUGGAGACAGAUUUAAGCUGGAGAUGUAGACUUAGGAGUUAUUUAUAUACAGAUGGGAGAUGAAGUUUGGGGUGUAAAUCAAAUCCCUAAAGAAAUCUAUAAUGAGAAGAGUGGCUGGAAACACUGACAUUUAAUGAGAAACAGAGGAAGUUGCCUGAGAAGGAUUAGCCAGAGAGGUAGGAGAAUAACCUAGAGAUAGUAAUGUUUGGGUACCAAGGAAAGAGAAUUGUGUAGAUACAGGAGGAAAGAAUCACCAGCUGGGGAAAAAAGGGUCAAGUUAGAUAAUAACUAAAAUGAUAUUACUUGAAUUUGACAACAGGGUCAUUGGUGGUCAUAGUGAGAACAGUUUCAGGGGAGUGAUGGGGUGGAAGCCAGAUUGUAGUGGGUUGAAGAGUGGGGGUGGAAAGAGGAAAUGAAGGUAACAAAUAUAGACAACAUUUUAUGAGGUUUCACUUCAAAGGGGAGAAAAGAAAUAGUGCAGUAGCUAAAGUAAGACCUGUGAUUGGAGGAAGACUUCAUUAUUUUAAGAUUUAGAAAAGCUGUUCAAGCAGAUUGAAAUACUGAUGGGAAGAAAGAGAAAGUGAAAGAGAGAGAGAGAAGAUAAUUCUUCCAAAAUGCUUUCAUAUUUAUUCAUUUGUUUAGCAUUACACAGUUCACUUAGGAGGCUAUUAAUCUUUUUUCCAUUUUCAGGCAGAAAAACUAAAUGAAACCCAAAACAAUGAAGUGAAUUCUCUAAGAUUGUAUGUCAGGAAAAUGAAAGUGAUAAGCUUAAACUCUGGGGUUCCAACAGACAGUAAAGAUUCAGGAAGAAAAAUGCAUUUCCAUCUGUAAAAUCCCUUGAGCCCAGAGCAUAUCCAAGGUACUAUGAUCAUCAUGCCCCCAACUCCCCCACCCUCGACUGGGAGGGGAAGCCAGUCUUGUAGCUCUUAUCAGACUGUAUUGAGCUGAAGCUUUAAUGAGCAGCAGCAAUCUGUUAUUUUCCUCUUGUUUGCCUUGCAAGUUGCUCUUUUAAUUCACAUCAAGAGAGGGAGAAGGAGAUGAAUAUUAAAAGCGCACAUCAAGGGACUGAGCCAGCCAGGGAGACAGGGAGCUCUUCAGUAUGCAGGGACAGAAGCAGGAGUUUGAUGUGAGACAGGAACCAUUGCCCUGGAGUCUGCUCCGGUGUCUGACAAGCCUGCCCUUGGGAAAUGUUGCUCACUAGAGUUGCUCUGGUAUUGGGAAAGGGUUGUUUCUGGAAUUGUCUGCACUGUGGGCUUGGCUGACUCUAGAAUGACAACAGAAAGAAAGAAACUAUUUCUGAGACUUUGAGAGAAUAAUUUAUUAUGAUGUAGAAACCAAAGUGUGGGGGAAGAGUUUCUGUAAUGGGACAUCUGACCUAAAAAGAGCAGUAAGUCCCACUGGUCUCAGAUGGUUUGGGUGUAGGAAAGAUGGAAGGAAAGGGUCUCAAUGUCAAGAGUACCAAUAUUUUUUUUAGUCUCUAUUCAGUAGUGAGGCUCUGAUUCUCCAAGUUAAUUUCAUAAAGUGGUGAAAAUCCAGAGCAAAGGCCAGCAAACAUUUGGGAAUUGUUUGCUUCAGCUGGUCCAGAUGACCCUAUAAGGGACUUAUCUUCUCUAUAAUCUGAGAACUUGGAAGAAUAAGAGCUUAAUAAGGGUGCAUAGGAGGUUAAUCUUAUCCCCAAGUACUGCAAUAAAUGCUCACCAUCAGAAUCACACAGAGGUUUGUACUUGCUAAUUCAGCCAAAGUCAGUUCUUGGGAAGACCUCAGGGUUAUUGGCUGACUGUAAUGGUGUAAUGGGUAAAGGCCAGGAUUGGUUGAUUGGUUGUUAAGGGUAAUAAUUUUGUACCAAGCCCAAAAUUAUACAGGGCUGGCAUCUUCAAGUUCUUGCACUGUGCAUGGAUUUGGUAAAUUCUUAAUAAAUCUUUGUUAAAUGAGUG